AAUAACCGGAUUUUUUAUAAUUAAUCAAAAGCAAGGAACAUGAUCAUUUCAUUCUUUACCUUUCAUGAUGAUUGUCGAUUAGAGCACUAUGAAUUGUUGCCGACACUCGAUCGACCGACAGCAGAAACUUAAUUCCUUUCCUCUCUAUUUCUCUCUCGUUCUCUCUCUCGUUUCCUCUCGUCACAGUCGAAGAAACAAAACAGAGCUUUGUUCAUCGUGCUGCACCGUCCACCACAGACCACCAAACAACCUCAGACCACCUUCCACGGCUUCGCCUCGACCUUGCGCAGCUACCGGAGGUAACCUUGCGCGGCGGCACGGCCGGCAGCGACGGCGGCGACCCCGAGUCCGGUUUAGCUCGUUUUCGUUCCAAACUCGAUAUCUCGAGCUACAGAGCACCAUUUCACUUGAUUCUUGGCUCAUUGAGCUCGCCUCAUCUUCCUAUACAAGCACCAAGAAGGAUCGGAACUGGAUUGAACGUUUUCACGUUCGUCGGAGCUCGACCCGUGCGGAUCGAACAACCAACCUUCGGAUCAAGAUAUCUCGAGCUAUACACGAUCGUUUCUUGUGAUUCUUGGCUUGUUGAGUUCAUAAGGAAGUUCUGAACAAUUCUCUAGAAGGAAUCGAAGCCUGAAAUUGAAGUUUUGACGUCGAAAUCAAGCCUUGCCGGAUUCUGCAAAAUUCUGGAAUUUUUCCGACCACCGAAGCUUUCGAUCGGUAUAUCUCGAGCUACAGACCAUAUUUUUCUGUGAUUCUUGAACCAGUGAGUUCUUCUUGAGUUUCUUAACAACUCUUCAGAAGGAAUCGAAGCCUUAAAUUGACGUUUUUACGUCGAAUUGGAGCUCGCCGUUUUCUGCAGUUUCUCGCCGGUUUCUGGAAAAUUCCGGCCACCUUCAUACUGUUCAAGGUGGUUGAUGGAUUGAUUGGUGAACGAUUUCGGAUCGUUGUUUUGAGCUGUUAAGAAGACGCAGCGGGAAUUUAGAGCGGGUAAUCCUACAGGACAGGAGAACCAGGACGGUGAUCGUGCGGUUAGAGCAAUGGUUAUAGUUUUACAGCAAUUGUAAUAGUGAGGCGAGUUAAGCUCAUUUGAGCAUUACAAUUUGAUUUGGUGGGAGUGUGCUGUAAUAAAUAACUUGAGGAUUUGGGUUAUUGUAAAUUUGAGAGUUGUGAAGUGUGGUUGUUUGUGAGAAAAAAAUUCAGGAUGUUAGUUGUAAUUUGUUAUUAUUCAUGUUUCGGAUUUGAAUUGAUUAUUCAAAAUUCGGGGCGUGACAGU
This is a long non-coding RNA of Rosa rugosa (rugosa rose), 1273 nucleotides long. RefSeq lists it as uncharacterized. The record is from RefSeq and is a predicted model, not a curated record. Lineage: Eukaryota; Viridiplantae; Streptophyta; Magnoliopsida; Rosales; Rosaceae. The transcript is spliced from 3 exons.